Molecule: ribosomal RNA, 253 nt
Filed under: uncultured bacterium
Lineage: Bacteria
Description: partial small subunit ribosomal RNA
Rfam family: Bacterial small subunit ribosomal RNA
Source: RNAcentral
AGGACGAACGCUGGCGGCGUGCUUAACACAUGCAAGUCAAGGGGGGUGGGGCAACCCAUCAACCGGCGAACGGGUGCGUAACACGUGAGCGACCUGCCCAGUUGCGGGGGAUAGCCGGCCCAACGGCCGGGUAAUACCGCAUACGCGUUUUGGGGGCAUCCCUGGAGACGGAAACCUACGGGGCGAUUGGAGGGGCUCGCGGCCUAUCAGCUAGUUGGCGAGGUAACGGCUCACCAAGGCGAUGACGGGUAGC